CCCGAAGAGUUUGAUCAUGGCUCAGAUUGAACGCUGGCGGCAGGCCUAACACAUGCAAGUCGAGCGGAAACGAUGGAAGCUUGCUUCCAGGCGUCGAGCGGCGGACGGGUGAGUAAUGCGCAGGAAUUUGCCCAGCAGUGGGGGAUAGCCCGGAGAAAUUCGGAUUAAUACCGCAUAUACCCUACGGGGGAAAGCUCUUGCUGUUGGAUGAGCCUGCGUCGGAUUAGCUAGUUGGUAGGGUAAAGGCCUACCAAGGCGACCUCCCGUAGCUGGUCUGAGAGGAUGAUCAUCCACACUGGAACUGAGACACGGUCCAGACUCCUACGGGAGGCAGCAGUGGGGAAUAUUGGACAAUGGGCGCAAGCCUGAUCCAGCCAUGCCGCGUGUGUGAAGAAGGCUCUAGGGUUGUAAAGCACUUUAAGUUGGGAGGAAAGGUUGAAGUUUAAUACGCUUUAGCUGUGACGUUACCAACAGAAUAAGCACCGGCUAACUCCGUGCCAGCAGCCGCGGUAAUACGGAGGGUGCAAGCGUUAAUCGGAAUUACUGGGCGUAAAGCGCGCGUAGGUGGUUAGAUAAGUUGGAUGUGAAAGCCCCGGGCUUAACCUGGGAACUGCAUUCAAAACUGUCUAGCUAGAGUACGAUAGAGGGGGGUAGAAUUUCAGGUGUAGCGGUGAAAUGCGUAGAGAUCUGAAGGAAUACCAGUGGCGAAGGCGGCCCUGGAUUGAUACUGACACUGAGGUGCGAAAGCGUGGGUAGCAAACAGGAUUAGAUACCCUGGUAGUCCAUGCCGUAAACGAUGUCAACUAGCCGUUGGAAGACUUGAUCUUUUAGUGGCGCAGCUAACGCAAUAAGUAGACCGCCUGGGGAGUACGGUCGCAAGAUUAAAACUCAAAUGAAUUGACGGGGGCCCGCACAAGCGGUUGAGCAUGUGGUUUAAUUCGACGCUACGCGAAGAACCUUACCUACUCUUGUCAUCCAGAGAACUCGCUAGAGAUAGCUUGGUGCCUUCGGGAACUCUGUGACAGGUGCUGCAUGGCUGUCGUCAGCUCGUGUUGUGAAAUGUUGGGUUAAGUCCCGGAACGAGCGCAACCCUUAUCCUUAGUUACCAGCGGGUUAUGCCGGGGACUCUAGGGAAACUGCCGGUGACAAACCGGAGGAAGGCGGGGACGACGUCAAGUCAUCAUGGCCCUUACGAGUAGGGCUACACACGUGCUACAAUGGCAUGUACAAAGGGUUGCCAAGCCGCGAGGUGGAGCUAAUCCCAUAAAGCAUGUCUUAGUCCGGAUUGGAGUCUGCAACUCGACUCCAUGAAGUCGGAAUCGCUAGUAAUCGUGAAUCAGAAUGUCACGGUGAAUACGUUCCCGGGCCUUGAACACACCGCCCGUCACACCAUGGGAGUUGUUUGCACCAGAAGUAGCUAGCUUAACCUUCGGGAGGACGAUUACCACGGUGUGGUUCAUGACUGGGGUGAAGUCGGCACAAGGUAACCAAGGG
This 1494-nucleotide ribosomal RNA is filed under the name uncultured prokaryote. RNAcentral's name for it is "partial 16S ribosomal RNA". It matches the Rfam family "Bacterial small subunit ribosomal RNA". The record is from RNAcentral.